CACAGACAACCAGGAUGUUGGCUUAGAGGCAGCCACUCAUUCAAAGAGUGCGUAAUAGCUCACUGGUCGAGUGAUCCUGCGCCGAAGAUUUCCGGGGCUAAAACUUACUACCGAAGCUACGGCAUCAGUAAUGAUGGGUAGGGGAGCUUCCCAUACGGGUUGAAGCAUGACCGUAAGGACAUGUGGACAGUAUGGGAGUGAGAAUGUUGGCAUGAGUAGCGAGAGGUGGGUGAGAAUCCCACAGGCCGUAAACCCAAGGUUUCCAGGGGGAGGUUCGUCCGCCCUGGGUUAGUCGGGACCUAAGCUGAGGCCGAAAGGCGUAGGUGAUGGACAACAGGUUGAUAUUCCUGUACUACCGAUAACCGUUUGAGAGAAGGGAUGACACAGUAGGAUAAGCUAAGCACACUGUUGGUUAUGUGUGCCCAAGCAUUGAGGCAGUCAAAGUAGGCAAAUCCGCUUUGAUAAUGCUGGGAUGUGAUGGGGAGCGAAAUUUAGUAGCGAA
Molecule: ribosomal RNA, 502 nt
Filed under: Clostridioides difficile
Lineage: Bacteria; Bacillati; Bacillota; Clostridia; Peptostreptococcales; Peptostreptococcaceae
Description: bacterial LSU rRNA
Rfam family: Bacterial large subunit ribosomal RNA
Source: RNAcentral